RNAcentral lists this ribosomal RNA (427 nucleotides) under Pseudomonas sp. Its description in RNAcentral is "bacterial SSU rRNA". It matches the Rfam family "Bacterial small subunit ribosomal RNA", at positions 343 to 761 of the family's 1533-position model. The record is from RNAcentral. Lineage: Bacteria; Pseudomonadati; Pseudomonadota; Gammaproteobacteria; Pseudomonadales; Pseudomonadaceae.
UGGAGGCAGGGCCAGGGGAAUAUUGGACAAUGGGCGAAAGCCUGAUCCAGCCAUGCCGCGUGUGUGAAGAAGGUCUUCGGAUUGUAAAGCACUUUAAGUUGGGAGGAAGGGCAGUAAGCUAAUACCUUGCUGUUUUGACGUUACCGACAGAAUAAGCACCGGCUAACUCUGUGCCAGCAGCCGCGGUAAUACAGAGGGUGCAAGCGUUAAUCGGAAUUACUGGGCGUAAAGCGCGCGUAGGUGGUUUGUUAAGUUGGAUGUGAAAGCCCCGGGCUCAACCUGGGAACUGCAUCCAAAACUGGCAAGCUAGAGUACGGUAGAGGGUGGUGGAAUUUCCUGUGUAGCGGUGAAAUGCGUAGAUAUAGGAAGGAACACCAGUGGCGAAGGCGACCACCUGGACUGAUACUGACACUGAGUCGAAAGAAGC